CAGAAUGUAGCUUAUAUUUUAAAGUUAUUUAUUUACAUUAAAUUGAAAAUUGUUUAUUCUUUCUGA
This 66-nucleotide transfer RNA is filed under the name Mitjaevia dworakowskae. RNAcentral's name for it is "tRNA-Val". Lineage: Eukaryota; Metazoa; Arthropoda; Insecta; Hemiptera; Cicadellidae. The record is from RNAcentral.